Molecule: transfer RNA, 67 nt
Filed under: Marmota monax (woodchuck)
Lineage: Eukaryota; Metazoa; Chordata; Mammalia; Rodentia; Sciuridae
Description: tRNA.Ala
Source: RNAcentral
GGUUGUAGCUCAGAGGUAGAGCGCUUGCCCCGCAUGUAUGAGGCCCUGGGUUCGGUCCCUCGCACCA